This 97-nucleotide transfer RNA is filed under the name Microdochium trichocladiopsis. It matches the Rfam family "tRNA". From Rfam's summary of the family: Transfer RNA (tRNA) molecules are approximately 80 nucleotides in length. Their secondary structure includes four short double-helical elements and three loops (D, anti-codon, and T loops). Lineage: Eukaryota; Fungi; Ascomycota; Sordariomycetes; Xylariales; Microdochiaceae. The record is from Rfam by way of RNAcentral.
GCGGGGAUAGCUCAGUUGGGAGAGCGUCAGACUGAAGCCACAACUUCGGUUCUACAAAAUCAUCUGAAGGUCGUGCGUUCGAUCCGCACUCACCGCA